UUAAAACCCAAAUUUACCUGGAAACCGAAGUGAUUCGGUCCUGAACCUGCCGCUGCAUUAACCCCCUCCACCUCCGGUUGCUCUUACCCAUAAAAUAUUAAUUCCCCCUUAGGCCACAGACAGCGUAACCAUUGUCUGAGAAGAAUUCAGACUUCAGAGGAGUAAAAUCAAUGAAAAGCAGAAGAAGAAAAUAAGAAGGAAGCAGCAGGAGCAGCAUCACAGAGACAACGACAAUGACCAAUCUUGGUGGUUGGUUGACUGAGAGAGACAAAAACAUAAUUCUAGGCUUCGAGCGGAGGGAAGGGGACUCAUCUGCAACCCCCGGAUCUGGAUGAUACACUCCCAGAUCUGCUUCGAGCAAAGUGUAGUUUCAGCGGUUCCGGCAGUUUAAGAAACUCAGAUCUGAGAUCCAGUUAAGGGCAUUCAUCUGCAACUCCUAGAUCUGGGCAAAGGGAAGGGGACGGAGGGAAGGGGACGGAGGGAAGGGAAUUCAUCUACAACUCCUAUCUGGACGAUACACUCCCAGAUCUGCUUCGAGCGGAGGGAAGGGGAUUCAUCUACAACUCCCAGAUCUGAUUCAAGUGGAGGGAAGAGGACAAAGGGAAGGGGAUUCAUCUGUGGGAAGGGGAGGCGGCAACCAAGUACUUUCCAGAACCCAUUUCCACCCUAGAUCCUUGUUUGCAGGCAUGCCGAGACAUCUUCACGGCAUAUAUACCAGAAGGCCCAAAGUCAAUCUCCUUCUGGUAUUUCGAGAGCAGGCGUCCUCCUCCGGGGUGAUGAGUAUGGUUUUGGUCUUACUGGACAUGGUGUAGACGGCAUCGACUUUGACGAUCAUGAAUUCAUAAGAGAUGGAGACCCAGGUGCCAGUUGCCCCAUAUCCUUACAUCUGAGAUCCGGUUAUCAUCUGCCGUUCUGGCAGUUUCAGCGAUUUCGGUAGUUUCCGCGAUGAAAAUGAGAAGGAGAGAGAUCUAAGUAAUAGAGGGUAAAAUAGUCUUUUUCUCAUCUCUAUUGAUGUUAAUUAGUAAGAAGGAGUACUCAAUUGUUACAUUUAGUCAAUUAACUAAAUUAUAAGGAUAGUUUAAGAAAUUUACCUUUUAUAAAAAUUCUUUGUUGAA
Molecule: long non-coding RNA, 1115 nt
Organism: Nelumbo nucifera (sacred lotus)
Lineage: Eukaryota; Viridiplantae; Streptophyta; Magnoliopsida; Proteales; Nelumbonaceae
Source: RefSeq, a predicted model, not a curated record